Molecule: ribosomal RNA, 468 nt
Filed under: uncultured bacterium
Lineage: Bacteria
Description: partial 16S ribosomal RNA
Rfam family: Bacterial small subunit ribosomal RNA
Source: RNAcentral
GACGAACGCUGGCGGCGUGCUUAACACAUGCAAGUCGAACGGAAAGGCCCUGCUUUUGUGGGGUGCUCGAGUGGCGAACGGGUGAGUAACACGUGAGUAACCUGCCCUUGACUUUGGGAUAACUUCAGGAAACUGGGGCUAAUACCGGAUAGGAGCUCCUGCUGCAUGGUGGGGGUUGGAAAGUUUCGGCGGUUGGGGAUGGACUCGCGGCUUAUCAGCUUGUUGGUGGGGUAGUGGCUUACCAAGGCUUUGACGGGUAGCCGGCCUGAGAGGGUGACCGGCCACAUUGGGACUGAGAUACGGCCCAGACGCCUACGGGAGGCAGCAGUGGGGAAUAUUGCACAAUGGGCGGAAGCCUGAUGCAGCAACGCCGCGUGCGGGAUGACGGCCUUCGGGUUGUAAACCGCUUUCGCCUGUGACGAAGCGUGAGUGACGGUAAUGGAUAAAGAAGCACCGGCUAACUACGUG